This 468-nucleotide ribosomal RNA is filed under the name uncultured bacterium. RNAcentral describes it as "partial 16S ribosomal RNA". It matches the Rfam family "Bacterial small subunit ribosomal RNA", at positions 28 to 507 of the family's 1533-position model. The record is from RNAcentral.
GACGAACGCUGGCGGCGUGCUUAACACAUGCCAGUCGAACGGAAAGGCCCUGCUUUUGUGGGGUGCUCGAGUGGCGAACGGGUGAGUAACACGUGAGUAACCUGCCCUUGACUUUGGGAUAACUUCAGGAAACUGGGGCUAAUACCGGAUAGGAGCUCCUGCUGCAUGGUGGGGGUUGGAAAGUUUCGGCGGUUGGGGAUGGACUCGCGGCUUAUCAGCUUGUUGGUGAGGUAGUGGCUGACCAAGGCUUUGACGGGUAGCCGGCCUGAGAGGGUGACCGGCCACAUUGGGACUGAGAUACGGCCCAGACUGCUACGGGAGGCAGCAGUGGGGAAUAUUGCAGAAUGGGCGGAAGCCUGAUGCAGCGACGCCGCGUGCGGGAUGACGGCCUUCGAGUUGUAAACCGAUUUCGCCUGUGACGAAGAGUGAGUGACGGUAAUGGGUAAAGAAGCACCGGCUAACUACGUG